This 247-nucleotide ribosomal RNA is filed under the name uncultured bacterium. RNAcentral describes it as "partial 16S ribosomal RNA". It matches the Rfam family "Bacterial small subunit ribosomal RNA", at positions 523 to 769 of the family's 1533-position model. The record is from RNAcentral.
AUACGUAGGUGGCAAGCGUUGUCCGGAUUUACUGGGUGUAAAGGGCGUGUAGGCGGGUGCUUAAGUCAGUGGUGAAAUACCGAAGCUCAACUUCGGGGCUGCCAUUGAAACUGGGCAUCUUGAGUGCAGGAGAGGAAAGCGGAAUUCCUAGUGUAGCGGUGAAAUGCGUAGAUAUUAGGAGGAACACCAGUAGCGAAGGCGGCUUUCUGGACUGUAACUGACACUGAGGCACGAAAGCGUGGGGAGC